CAGCAUGCGAGAUGAAUUCAGAAGAAUAUCAUUCGAGUUAAAACAUCAGACCAAUUUUUAGUCUCUUUUAAAAUGAAAGGUUGGACGGCUGGUAAUUAAGCUAUAUAUCGAUUUGUGACUCUCCAAAGAGAGAGAAACUUGAUUUGUGACGCUCCCGAGAGAAACUUACUUAUCACCUGCAAAAGGACAAAACUAACCCUAUUAAUUGCGUGAUGGCCCAACACAUCAUGUGGGCUCCACGGUCAUUGGCCAAAUGCUACACCAUUUCUGUCCUCUCCCCACCUUCCUUCCGCAAAUAUAAAGAGCUCACCACCCCAACCCCACCCCCUCACCGUUGCAAAUGGCUGCCCAAUCAGUCGCUGCCGCCACAUCCCAGCUAUCGGCUACUGGCAAGGUGGCCGAGCCCACGGCGGCUUCCGUCGUCGAUGCCGCCGCCUUCCUCUCGCCUCACCACCAGAGCUCCCGGAAACCUCAUGGCCAGUCUCUAAUUCGAUGCAUGAUGGAGAGAAUGAAGCAAUUGUUGACCCGAGGUUCUUCACCUGCAUUGUACCUUGCGAACAGGGCAAAGGAGCUUCCCAGGCGUUGUUUCGGCAACCAAGUCUCUAGUGCUGCUUCAGAGGUUGGGCAUGACUUAAUGGGCAUCGAAGCAUAUUUCUCCAUUCCGGUUGUCGUGCCGGUUACCUCCCGUGUGGUUUAGAAAAUGGAUAUCAGAGGUGAUUACACUGUAAUCCUCUUACGUGAGCUCUUGGAUGUAGAUAUAUAUAUAUAUUUAUACACCCGUACAUCACUAAUUAAUUACCUUCUACUUGAAACUCUCCAAAUUAAUAUUACUAGCACUUUGAUCGAGCUCCAGUUUGCCGUUACACAAUUAUAAACAUAAUUGCUAACCAUCUAUAACAGAGAUUACGCUCAUCAUUAAGUUUAAUUAUCUCUGUCGUGGUUUUCAUGAUAUUCAACUCUAUCAG
Molecule: long non-coding RNA, 965 nt
Filed under: Elaeis guineensis (African oil palm)
Lineage: Eukaryota; Viridiplantae; Streptophyta; Magnoliopsida; Arecales; Arecaceae
Description: long non-coding RNA (EGUI_LNC032275)
Source: RNAcentral